RNAcentral lists this ribosomal RNA (348 nucleotides) under Triticum aestivum (bread wheat). RNAcentral's name for it is "partial small subunit ribosomal RNA". The record is from RNAcentral. Lineage: Eukaryota; Viridiplantae; Streptophyta; Magnoliopsida; Poales; Poaceae.
AUGGCCUACAUCGCCGGCAACCCCAUCAUGUCCGACGCCGAAUUCGACGAGCUCAAGAUCAGACUCAAGGAAGACGGAAGCGACAUCGUGACGGAAGGUCCGAGGUGCAGUCUACGGAGUCGGAAGGUGAGUGUGAUCCAAAAUCAUACAGUGGAGAUACUCUGUUAUAACAUUUCCAUUCUGUUAUAUGUUUGCAUUGAUUCACAUUCAAGUAACCCCCCAUUGCCAUAUGCAGUAUGUCUGAAAUUAGUGAACAAACCCACUUUACAUCAUGUGCCAAACUCUGAAAUUAAACCACCAAAAAUGCUGCUGCGAUUUUACAUUUAUUUCACCACUCGUAUAUGGUAA